GAGAGGAGAUUAUAAUGAGAUUACUGGAUUGCCUAUGAAAGAUAGACGGAGCCAUAAGAAAGAUUAGACUUCCAAAUCAAUUACUGCUACUACUACAACAACAAUAGCAAUCAACAAGUAGGUCUGAUUCGAGUUUGUUUUUUUUUUAGAAAGUAAGAAGAAAUUGAAUUUCACUUUUUGGUGUUGAUAAUCUUGUUGUUUGAAAUGGGGAAAAUUUGAUGUUUCGAAUUGUACUCUCUGUUUAGAUCUUUGAAUGGAUAUCAUCACAUUUUGGUGUUUUUGUCUUUCUUGUUUUCCCUAUUUUUAUGCAUUUUUUUUAGUUUCUAGCAUGUUUGGGAGCCAUGUACU
This 348-nucleotide long non-coding RNA is filed under the name Aquilegia coerulea. RNAcentral describes it as "long non-coding RNA (ACOE_LNC000315)". Lineage: Eukaryota; Viridiplantae; Streptophyta; Magnoliopsida; Ranunculales; Ranunculaceae. The record is from RNAcentral.